UUGUGUUAUCUUGCUGGAAGAGAGGCCCAACUCGGUGUUUUUUCGCCCACCAAGCAAGGAGUGUUUGUAUGGAGGUCAAUGAGUGUCGAAUUUGGUCAACAGCAAAAAAUGAUAGUUUAUUUGCUACGUGAGGAUUAUUUAAUCGAAUAGAAGUUUCGUAAUGCGUAAGUUGUUACGAGUGUAAUAUAAGUAGGACAUGUGACAUCGCGGCAACUCACUAGCGGUUCUGGGGGGGGGGCAGUGCCCCAGUGACAACAAGCUUGGACCCUAAAUGCGGGGUCUGAAAUAAUUAUCACAGAAUUCCUUUUUGCGAUAAUGUUUUGAAGUGGAUGUUUUUUACAUCCGUUAUUAGACAGGCAAAACGGAACACUAAAGUAACCCAACACAUUUUCUAGUGGGACUCCUUUUAGGCGGAACACAACAGUAUCGUACGACGUGGACCUGCUAGUUUUUUUUCUAUUCAGAAGUUGAAAGAAAUUCUGCAAGAAGAAUGAAAUAAAGAGAGAUAUCAGCAAAUCCUGGGAGGAGCCACCGGUGCAGCCAGUAAUGAACAUGACCCAAGAACACUGAUGGGGGACAGGAGUAGCAGCUUGUAGUCUGGCUAUGAGGUAAAUGGGUGAAGGACAUUCUGUACGUGGCUCAUAGAAGAGGAGAGAAGAAGCAAGACGGAGUUCCUCUGGAGAUGGGAGAAGCUUCCAGAAG
This is a long non-coding RNA of Coregonus clupeaformis (lake whitefish), 702 nucleotides long. RefSeq lists it as uncharacterized. Lineage: Eukaryota; Metazoa; Chordata; Actinopteri; Salmoniformes; Salmonidae. The transcript has 3 exons. The record is from RefSeq and is a predicted model, not a curated record.